GCGGGGGAUCGCAAGACCUCGUGCUCAUAGAGCGGCCGAUAUCUGAUUAGCUAGUUGGUGAGGUAAAGGCUCACCAAGGCUUCGAUCAGUAGCUGGUCUGAGAGGACGACCAGCCACACUGGGACUGAGACACGGCCCAGACUCCUACGGGAGGCAGCAGUGGGGAAUUUUGGACAAUGGGGGCAACCCUGAUCCAGCAAUGCCGCGUGAGUGAAGAAGGCCUUCGGGUUGUAAAGCUCUUUUGUCAGGGAAGAAACGGGAUGUCCUAAUACGAUGUCCUAAUGACGGUACCUGAAGAAUAAGCACCGGCUAACUACGUGCCAGCAGCCGCGGUAAUACGUAGGGUGCAAGCGUUAAUCGGAAUUACUGGGCGUAAAGCGUGCGCAGGCGGUUAUGUAAGACAGGUGUGAAAUCCCCGGGCUUAACCUGGGAAUGGCAUUUGUGACUGCAUAGCUAGAGUGUGUCAGAGGGGGGUAGAAUUCCACGUGUAGCAGUGAAAUGCGUAGAGAUGUGGAGGAAUACCGAUGGCGAAGGCAGCCCCCUGGGAUAACACUGACGCUCAUGCA
RNAcentral lists this ribosomal RNA (566 nucleotides) under Collimonas sp. RNAcentral describes it as "bacterial SSU rRNA". It matches the Rfam family "Bacterial small subunit ribosomal RNA", at positions 191 to 753 of the family's 1533-position model. The record is from RNAcentral. Lineage: Bacteria; Pseudomonadati; Pseudomonadota; Betaproteobacteria; Burkholderiales; Oxalobacteraceae.